CCAGUUAAAAUUUGAAUUUCAGAUAAAUAACAAAUAAUGUUUUGAUACAAGUGUGUACUUGUCAUGCAAUAUUUGGGACAUACUUAUACUAAAAAAAUUGUUUAUCUGAAAUUCAAAUUUAACUGUACAU
This 130-nucleotide microRNA precursor is filed under the name Dasypus novemcinctus (nine-banded armadillo). RNAcentral's name for it is "miRNA (ENSDNOG00000029703.1)". Lineage: Eukaryota; Metazoa; Chordata; Mammalia; Cingulata; Dasypodidae. The record is from RNAcentral.